CGCCCGCUUGCUCUCCCAAUCCUUGACGGACUUCACACUCCAAAUUCGGCUUCUGGAGAAAUGAAGCCUCCUCCGAAGACUCUCGUCUCUCUCAAUAUGGCAUCUCCCCUCCUUCUCUCUAUUCGCUCCUCCAAUCAAACGAUCUUUUUUAGCUUACUCUGCUACCCUAACCUUAGAAGCGAAGACAGCGAGGCCUUCUCCCUCAAGCUCUCUAGUCAUACUUCAGCGGACCAUCACCGCUGUCGCCGACCAAUGGAAUGUGUGAUCCGCGGGACCGCCUCUAAUCUCCGUUUUAGAAUUCUCGUCCCAUUUUGCCAUUCCGAUGUCUCCAGGACCUCUCGAUUUGUCGUCUCCACUUAAAUCUAGGGUUUAUAUAUACUAUGUCUCUCUCACUCUGGCAUCUCCUCUCCUUCUCGCUCUCUAUUCUCUCUUUCAACCGAUUCAUCCUCCCUUCCCUCCUCCUCUCCUCUAACGUUAGAAGUGAAAGACGACAAUACUUUUUAGAGACUUCAGCGGACCAUCGCCGAUGCUGCCGAGCAAUCGAAAGUGUUUUCUGCCGUCUGCAACUUCUAUGUCAUAAAUCUCGUUUCUGAUGUAUUCAGGGACGGCCAAUAUCACUGUAGAGUCUCGAGCUAGAGCCUUCCAGAACGGAGCUAUUACCGGUAUCUACGUCUUUCACCGCUUGAAGACCCCCAAGGGCUUCGUUUCGUCCACGACAUUGAAAGUAUUAUUGACAUUGUACAAUGUGGGGGGAAAAUGGUGCAAGAAUAAAAGAUGGCGAUUUUCUUUCCAUAAAAGCUCACAUGUUUUCUCAUUCGCUUCGCGUCGACUUUGAAAAAGGUAUAAUUGAUACUCUGCGCUGGUAUUUCUCUUGUUAAUUCUGACUUUGUUUGGCCUUAGGAUGAUAGUACCAUUGCCAUCUUUCAGAAAAUAAGCAUCCCCUUUAUAAUUUUUGUGUUUUUAGAGACCUUACCAAUGGACUAGUAAGGGAAAAGCCCUUUAUACUAAUCAAAAUGGGGCUUGGCUUUUUUCGAUGGAGUCAAUCAGUUUAAUGUGGCCAUGUUUUGGCUGCACAGGGAGUAAGUAUAUAAUCCCGUUAUUCAGUUGUUCAAUAUCUAUCUAACAUACAUAAUUAUUAUACGCUCUUCCAUUUGUAAGUGGCUUAUAUUCUGAUGUAUAUACUUUUUAUGCAUUGGAAUUUGGUCAGGUUUGUAGGUAGCUUUUUAAUAUACUUUGUUCUUCAAUAUCUCAUGUAUAAAAGUGAGUUGUGUUGAUCUCCUUGAUCUUUUUCAUUUUUGUACGCCUGAUUUGCAGAUUUAAUGUUGAUGUUUAAACAUCUGAUCUAAUGUUGAAUUUUAUUUCACAACUAGGCAAGUUUUUAUGUACCCAAUUAAGUUUCCCACCCACCCACCCAUCCAUCUAUAUAUAAAUUAUAUUCAUAUUGAUUUUUUUUAAUGAAUGCGAACUUUUCUUUGUCCAGCUUACACUAGCUUCUUCUGUCCUCUCGCUCAAUGUAUUUUAGUCUAUGAUUUCUUAAUUAAUUUUUGUGUUUCUUUCUAGCUACCUAGCUAGUUGAUUUCAUGUUCGUUCUUGUUUUCUCACAUGUUUGUGACUCGUUCAAGCUUAUGGUAGAGUAUGCAUAUACAUAUACUAAUACCUU
This is a long non-coding RNA of Tripterygium wilfordii, 1660 nucleotides long. RefSeq lists it as uncharacterized. Lineage: Eukaryota; Viridiplantae; Streptophyta; Magnoliopsida; Celastrales; Celastraceae. The record is from RefSeq and is a predicted model, not a curated record. The transcript has 2 exons.